GAGUUUGAUCCUGGCUCAGAACGAACGCUGGCGGCAUGCCUAACACAUGCAAGUCGAACGAGACCUUCGGGUCUAGUGGCGCACGGGUGCGUAACGCGUGGGAAUCUGCCUUUAGGUUCGGAAUAACUCGGGGAAACCCGUGCUAAUACCGGAUAAUGACUUCGGUCCAAAGAUUUAUCGCCUAAAGAUGAGCCCGCGUCGGAUUAGCUAGUUGGUGAGGUAAAAGCUCACCAAGGCGACGAUCCGUAGCUGGUCUGAGAGGAUGAUCAGCCACACUGGGACUGAGACACGGCCCAGACUCCUACGGGAGGCAGCAGUGGGGAAUAUUGGACAAUGGGCGAAAGCCUGAUCCAGCAAUGCCGCGUGAGUGAUGAAGGCCUUAGGGUUGUAAAGCUCUUUUACCCGGGAUGAUAAUGACAGUACCGGGAGAAUAA
This 434-nucleotide ribosomal RNA is filed under the name uncultured Alphaproteobacteria bacterium. RNAcentral describes it as "bacterial SSU rRNA". It matches the Rfam family "Bacterial small subunit ribosomal RNA", at positions 9 to 489 of the family's 1533-position model. The record is from RNAcentral. Lineage: Bacteria; Pseudomonadati; Pseudomonadota; Alphaproteobacteria.